UCUCCGUAGGUGAACCUGCGGAGGGAUCAUUACAGAGUUUUUGCCCGCAAGGGUAGAUCUCCCACCCUAUGUUAUUCCUUCUCUGUUGCUUUGGCGGGCCGUCCGGCCUCGGUCAGGCCACCGGCUCCGGCUGGUGCGCGCCCGCCUGAGGACCCCAAACCCUAAAUGUCAGUGUCGUCUGAGUACUAUAUAAUAGUUAAAACUUUCAACAACGGAUCUCUUGGUUCUG
Molecule: unclassified non-coding RNA, 229 nt
Filed under: plant metagenome
Description: partial contains small subunit ribosomal RNA, internal transcribed spacer 1, and 5.8S ribosomal RNA
Source: RNAcentral